CCUACGGGAGGCAGCAGUGGGGGAUAUUGCACAAUGGGGGGAACCCUGAUGCAGCGACGCCGCGUGGGUGAAGGAGUGCUUCGGCAUGUAAAGCCCUAUCGGCAGGGAAGAAGCAAGACGGUACCUGACUAAGAAGCCCCGGCUAAAUACGUGCCAGCAGCAGCGGUAAUACGUAGGGGGCGAGCGGUAUCCGGAUUCACUGGGUGGAAAGGGAGCGUAGACGGCCAAGCAAGCCAGGGGUGAAAGCCCGGGGCCCAACCCCGGGUCUGGCCAUGGGACUGCAUGGCUGGAGUGCGGGAGGGGGAGGCGGAAUUCCUGGUGUAGCAGUGAAAUGCGUAGAUAUCAGGAAGAACACCGACGGCGAAGGCAGCCUGCUGGGCCGCGACUGACGUUGAGGCUCGAAAGCGUGGGGAGCGAACAGGAUUAGAUACCCCAGUAGUC
This 441-nucleotide ribosomal RNA is filed under the name uncultured bacterium. RNAcentral's name for it is "partial 16S ribosomal RNA". It matches the Rfam family "Bacterial small subunit ribosomal RNA", at positions 338 to 795 of the family's 1533-position model. The record is from RNAcentral.